GGGAUCUUUGGUGACUGCUGGUGCUGUCCGAGCUAUAGACGGUGAGUAUGUGUCUGGAACGCCGAGGUGCAG
Molecule: small nucleolar RNA, 72 nt
Organism: Oryctolagus cuniculus (rabbit)
Lineage: Eukaryota; Metazoa; Chordata; Mammalia; Lagomorpha; Leporidae
Product: small nucleolar RNA, C/D box 114-28
Source: Ensembl